Daphnia pulicaria is the source of this 821-nucleotide long non-coding RNA. RefSeq lists it as uncharacterized. NCBI's taxonomy places the organism in Eukaryota, Metazoa, Arthropoda, Branchiopoda, Diplostraca, Daphniidae. The transcript is spliced from 6 exons. The record is from RefSeq and is a predicted model, not a curated record.
UAAGUAGCCCAUGCUCCUCCUUGGCGUCCUUGCUUAGCCGCUACUCCUUGCAGGCUGCAGUGGCAGCAAUUUUUUUUGAAUUUGUUUUCCCUUAAGUAAGAAUGACGACAAGAACCAUCGUAUUGAAGUUCUAUUUAACUAAUCGUGUUUUUACGAAGAAACAGAUGUACUCAUAGCCGUUCCUAUAUGAACGCUUUAUUUUGUGAAAUCGAAAGAGAUGUUUUAGUAAAGCUUCAAAAACUGAUUAUGUGAUGGACAGUGAAACCGUUCAAGAGAAUACUGGCCAUACCAGUUCAGUGAUACCUGAUGAUCAGAUGCCAUUCAUCCUGUGAGAGUUCUCUCAAACCAGGUUGAUAGCAAGGUUGAUAGUCAAAUAGUUGAAGAGAACGUGCCAGUUCAGUGAUCUCUUGCUGCAGAUGCCAUUAGUCAUGUGACAAUUCUUUCAAACGUACCAAGUUGAUAGUCAAAUAGAAGAAGAGAAUACUGGCCGUGCCAGUUCAGUGAUCUCUUGCUGCAGCCAUCCAUCCUGUGACAGUUCUCUUAUACCGGGUUGAUAUUCAAAUAGAUGAAGAUAAUACUGGCCAUACCAGUUUCAGUGAUAACUGAUGAUCAGAUAUGCCAUUCAUCCUGUGACAGUUCUCUCAGGCCACGUUGAUAGUCAAAUAGUUAAUAGUUAAAGGGAACACUGGCCGUGCCAGUUCAGUGAUCUCUGCUGCUGAUGCCAUCCUUUUUAUGACAGUUCUCUCAAACCAUGUUGAUAGUCAAAAUUAAUGAAGAUAAUCUGUCAGCGGACACUUGGUUGUGUGGUUAGAGUACCCGCG